This 953-nucleotide long non-coding RNA is filed under the name Triticum aestivum (bread wheat). RNAcentral describes it as "long non-coding RNA (TAES_LNC020701)". The record is from RNAcentral. Lineage: Eukaryota; Viridiplantae; Streptophyta; Magnoliopsida; Poales; Poaceae.
GGAAAACAAGCCAUCACAUUAAUCCACAUAGAUUACAUUAUCUCCACCAUUAAUUUUUUAAGGUAGCGGCUGAGAUUUAAAGAUAUUAAAAGUUACAUACAACUAUUGUAGGUACUAAUAAUUUGUUUGUCACGCACCACUGACACGCCUGUCAUCCUGAACAUGCCAGCCUUUUUAAUGUGUCCGAGACAACCACAAAUACCCGCCACACAAAAGGUAUAGGUGUACGAUAUAGUAGUUGUCAAAGAAGAGUAUACUAUAUGAAAUCUACUAUUCAUAGUUCCAAAUCUACACACGGACUCAAGCAAAGAACUCCACACGUGGUUGGAAUUCCAAAUCUAUACACACGGACUCAACCAAAGAACUCCACUCGGGGUCGGCUAACACGGACAAAAAGAGACACCUAGCUGGCCACGUCCAGCAACGCCCAAGAAGCCAAAACUUUUUUCCAUGUACUACAACACAAGUGAGAUCGGGCAUGAUCCAUAUCAUGCUCCACGUGAGUCUAAACACCAUGACAAAGUGUGAUGGAUGCAAAAAGGGCGUGAUUAGACGGCAUCCAAGAGCAUGGCAAACACCACACCAAAGUGCAAUGGAUGCAAUUAGGGUAGGAUUGGACUAUGUUGGAGGAGUGCAUCAUGAUGGACAAAGUACAUCCAGAAGUUCGCUACAUAGAUAUAGGGCUGCUUUUUGCCAGAGAUCCAGGAAGCAAAAUCUGCCCGACAAGCAGACCACCUACAAUAUAGAAAUCUGCCGAUGCCGUGAUGAAACAAACAAUGUGACGCAAAUCAGCCAAAACUGUGACAGAACAUGUCUGAACGCCAGCCAAACCUUCUGAGUUGCCGCCACGAUGAAACAAACGAUGCAACGCAAAUUAGCCAAAAUUAUGAUAGAUGUCACGACGCCAGCCGAACCUUCAGAGUUGCUGCCUCUCCUGAAUAAUCAAGGUUCGU